This is a non-coding RNA of Equus caballus (horse), 35 nucleotides long. Lineage: Eukaryota; Metazoa; Chordata; Mammalia; Perissodactyla; Equidae. The record is from Rfam.
CAGUUUCCUGCCUCAACAGUGCUUGGACUGAACGG